Molecule: ribosomal RNA, 231 nt
Filed under: uncultured bacterium
Lineage: Bacteria
Description: partial 16S ribosomal RNA
Rfam family: Bacterial small subunit ribosomal RNA
Source: RNAcentral
UACGUAGGGUCCGAGCGUUGUCCGGAAUUACUGGGCGUAAAGAGCUCGUAGGUGGUUUGUCGUGUUGUUCGUGAAAACUCACAGCUCAACUGUGGGCGUGCGGGCGAUACGGGCAGACUAGAGUACUGCAGGGGAGACUGGAAUUCCUGGUGUAGCGGUGGAAUGCGCAGAUAUCAGGAGGAACACCGGUGGCGAAGGCGGGUCUCUGGGCAGUAACUGACGCUGGAGGAG